CAAUAGCGUAUAUUAUUGAUGUUGCAGUUGAAACGUUCGUAGUCGAACUUUAUCUGCUCAAACAUCAUGGCAUUGAUGAUGACAUGAUGUUCUCAGCAGAGAUUGUGCAACAGUUCACAUGUGUUUCACAUGUUUGCUUUUGUACUUUACUUUGAGUGAAUCGGCGUGUUCCACGCAGGCAUGUGCCUUAAACGAUUUACCAUAGCAUAAUCAGAGUAUGAGACUGCUUCCUUGUUUGUUCGGAAGCUUUUUCGAUACUGAUAGGAACGGUUGAGGGCAUUCGUAUUCGACUGCUAGAGGUGAAAUUCUUUGAUUAGUCGAGGACGAAUUAUUGCGAAAGCAUCUGCCAAGGACGUUUCCUUUGA
This 365-nucleotide ribosomal RNA is filed under the name uncultured eukaryote. Its description in RNAcentral is "partial 18S ribosomal RNA". It matches the Rfam family "Eukaryotic small subunit ribosomal RNA", at positions 592 to 976 of the family's 1831-position model. The record is from RNAcentral.